UUUCUUCUUUCCCUUUCUCUCUCUUAUCGUAUCUUCACUACUCUCUCUCAUUCUUUCUCUCUAAACCCUUUCCUCCAGCCACCCUGAAACCUAGUAGCCACUGUGCUAACUGCCCCCAAACCCACAUCUCUAGUUAAAGUUCAAUCGGGAUCUUCAUAUCUUCAAAUACCAAACCCAGAACCCUUCAAGACCAUGAACCCUAGGAUGAACCCUAACCUUAAUGAAGAACCCUAAUUGGGUUCUUUUGAACCCUAACUUAUCAACCUAGAACCCUAACCCUAAAGUGAAGAACCCUAACCCUAACUUCUAAGAAACCUAACCCUAAAACUAUCCAGAAACCCUCAAUCUGAUCUAGAUCGAAUCCUAAUCAAACCUAAAACACAAAUCAACCCUUAACAGAAAUCAAACACAAAAACCAUAUAUCUAUCAUUCAAACUAAAUUCAGAAUAAAUCAAACAUAGCCAUGCAAAUCGAAUAAGUGAAUGAAGGCAAAGGGGUAACAAAUUCAACCAACCUACGGAGAUGAGUAAUUCUCCGGUAAAAAAAAAGAUAAUCGUUUCGAUUCUUUUUAUUGUCUUUGGUCCAGUUUGUCUUUUCUUCCUCCUCUAACUUCUUCUUUUUCCCUUGUGCGAGGUAUCAAUGGUAUUGUGAUGUGGCUUAGCUCAGAGGAAUUAGGGUCUCAAUAUGGUACCCUAAUGACUGUUUGAUUGGAGCUUUAAUGGAGGUUUCGGGGUUGCAAAAGCAAUUAUACUCUUAGGGUUUUCUUAUCUCUUUUUUUCGUUCUUAAAUCAUAUAAUUUCUCAUGUAUUAAUAGAUCAAAUUAGGUCUUAGUGAUUUAAUCAUAUUGAUUUGUUUUAGAAAAAUUUGUAUUAGAUUGAUUGUAAUUUGAUUUAGUUUUUUUUUAGAAUUUGGAUCCGACUGUACUUGGUCCUAAUUGUAUCGUGUAAUGCAUUUGAGAAUUGAAUUUGGAAAUAUUUGAUGGCAUUUUCAAUUUGA
RNAcentral lists this long non-coding RNA (996 nucleotides) under Lathyrus oleraceus (garden pea). Its description in RNAcentral is "Pisum sativum (pea) long non-coding RNA (PSAT_LNC020525)". Lineage: Eukaryota; Viridiplantae; Streptophyta; Magnoliopsida; Fabales; Fabaceae. The record is from RNAcentral.